GUCCAGAGAUUUCUUGGUUUUGCGAAUUUUUACAGGAAGUUUAUCAAGAAUUUCUCUGAAGUAGCCCAUCCUCUCCAUGCCCUUACCGGAAACAAACAUCCCUUUAGGUGGAAUAACAAUGCACAAGAUGCCUUCGAUGAGUUAAAAAACAGAUUCACAACUGCUCCUGUUCUACAACUUCCAAAUCCUUCAUAUCCUUAUGUCCUAGAAGUAGAUGCAUCUGAAAAUGCUAUUGGAGCAGUUCUUUCUCAGCAAAAGACCCCUCAAGAUUCUCUCCAUCCUGUCGCUUUUCUCUCAAGAUCCUUAACCUCGGCAGGAAAGAACUAUCCUAU
Non-coding RNA from Pelobates cultripes (western spadefoot toad), 332 nucleotides. Lineage: Eukaryota; Metazoa; Chordata; Amphibia; Anura; Pelobatidae. The record is from the annotation of a GenBank genome assembly.